This 377-nucleotide ribosomal RNA is filed under the name uncultured bacterium. Its description in RNAcentral is "bacterial SSU rRNA". It matches the Rfam family "Bacterial small subunit ribosomal RNA", at positions 523 to 898 of the family's 1533-position model. The record is from RNAcentral.
AUACGUAGGUGGCGAGCGUUAUCCGGAAUUACUGGGCGUAAAGGGCACGCAGGCGGCCAUUCAAGUCUGACGUGAAAGCUCCCGGCUUAACUGGGAGAGGUCGUUGGAGACUGAGUGGCUUGAGGCGAUGAGAGGGGUGCGGAAUUCCCGGUGUAGUGGUGGAAUGCGUAGAUAUCGGGAGGAACACCAGUGGCGAAAGCGGCGCCCUAGCAUUGGCCUGACGCUCAUGUGCGAAAGCGUGGGGAGCGAACGGGAUUAGAUACCCCGGUAGUCCACGCUGUAAACGAUGAGCACUAGGUGUAGGCGGUGUCAAAGCUGUCUGUGCCGAAGCAAACGCGAUAAGUGCUCCGCCUGGGGAGUACGGCCGCAAGGCUAAA